Long non-coding RNA from Aedes albopictus (Asian tiger mosquito), 536 nucleotides. RefSeq lists it as uncharacterized. The record is from RefSeq and is a predicted model, not a curated record. The transcript is spliced from 3 exons. Lineage: Eukaryota; Metazoa; Arthropoda; Insecta; Diptera; Culicidae.
ACCGUAAGUGAAGCAAGAUGAACCUCGCCAGCAAAAUAAACUAAUAAGCCAUCAUGAUUUAGGCACAUCAAUAUUCAGGAUUCGCUCUUCCAAACGAGGACGGAGUUCGCACUGGCCUGGGCGCACGUUCCGCUAGGCAGAGCAACAAAAGCUUCAAGUCCGGUAUCAGCGACGCGAGAUCUUCUUCUGCAAACCAACGAGCCCCGUCACAGAGGCUUUGUUGCACAUCCCACAAAUCACGGUUGAGGGAUCCACCGUCGGCCACGAGACUCGAUCCGUUGUGCCGAUCGCGCGUCGAGAUUAGGCCAAAGCUGGUAGAGCGAACCAAAGGGAACACCAGAAGGGCAUCGCGGGGAUACGCAACACGGCAGACAGAACGAACAGUUGUCGGCAAGGCCGAGGUCGAUUGGCAAUCGAAAUUGCGUUCUCAGGGCACCAUGGAAACGGUGGCCGAACGCAACACGAGGACGAGCAGCCAGGCAUGAGAUUGCGUGGUCGAGGUUGAACGUUGAACCCCACGGUCGGUGAGCGAUCCC